RNAcentral lists this ribosomal RNA (468 nucleotides) under uncultured bacterium. RNAcentral describes it as "partial 16S ribosomal RNA". It matches the Rfam family "Bacterial small subunit ribosomal RNA", at positions 28 to 507 of the family's 1533-position model. The record is from RNAcentral.
GACGAACGCUGGCGGCGUGCUUAACACAUGCAAGUCGAACGGAAAGGCCCUGCUUUUGUGGGGUGCUCGAGUGGCGAACGGGUGAGUAACACGUGAGUAACCUGCCCUUGACUUUGGGAUAACUUCAGGAAACUGGGGCUAAUACCUGAUAGGAGCUCCUGCUGCAUUGUGGGGGUUGGAAAGUUUCGGCGGUUGGGGAUGGACUCGCGGCUUAUCAGCUUGUUGGUGGGGUAUUGGCUUACCAAGGCUUUGACGGGUAGCCGGCCUGAGAGGGUGACCGGCCACAUUGGGACUGAGAUACGGCCCAGACUCCUACGGGAGGCAGCAGUGGGGAAUAUUGCACAAUGGGCGGAAGCCUGAUGCAGCAACGCCGCGUGCGGGAUGACGGCCUUCGGGUUGUAAACCGCUUUCGCCUGUGACGAAGCGUGAGUGACGGUAAUGGGUAAAGAAGCACCGGCUAACUACGUG